GAUGAACGCUGGCGGCGUGCCUAAUACAUGCAAGUCGAGCGAACAGACGAGGAGCUUGCUCCUCUGACGUUAGCGGCGGACGGGUGAGUAACACGUGUAUAACCUACCUAUCAGACUGGGAUAACUUCGGGACACCGGCGCUAAUCCCGGAUGAUCUCUUGCACCGCAUUGUUCGAUAGUGAGAUACGGUUGUGCUGUCACUUAUAGAUGGAUCUGCGCCGCAUUAGCUAGUCGGGAAGGUCACGGCCUACCAAGGCAACGAUGCGUAGCCGAACUGAGAGGCGGAUCGGCCACACUGGAGCUGGACCACGGUCCAGGCGCCUAAGGGACGCAGCAGUCGGGAAUGUGACGCAAUGGGCGAAAGCAUGACGGAGCAACGCCGCGUGAGUGAUGAAGGUCUUCGGAUCGUAAAACUCUGCUAUUAGGGAAGAACAAAUGUGUAAGGAACUAUGCACGUCGUGACGGUACCUAAUCAGAAAGCCACGGCUAACUACGUG
Molecule: ribosomal RNA, 497 nt
Filed under: uncultured bacterium
Lineage: Bacteria
Description: partial 16S ribosomal RNA
Rfam family: Bacterial small subunit ribosomal RNA
Source: RNAcentral